This 448-nucleotide ribosomal RNA is filed under the name uncultured bacterium. RNAcentral's name for it is "bacterial SSU rRNA". It matches the Rfam family "Bacterial small subunit ribosomal RNA", at positions 330 to 792 of the family's 1533-position model. The record is from RNAcentral.
UCCAGACUCCUACGGGAGGCAGCAGUCGGGAAUAUUGCGCAAUGGAGGAAACUCUGACGCAGUGACGCCGCGUGCAGGAAGAAGGUUUUCGGAUUGUAAACUGCUUUAGACAGGGAAGAAAGAAAUGACGGUACCUGUAGAAUAAGCUCCGGCUAACUACGUGCCAGCAGCCGCGGUAAUACGUAGGGAGCAAGCGUUAUCCGGAUUUAUUGGGUGUAAAGGGUGCGUAGACGGGUAUACAAGUUAGUAGUGAAAUCCCUCGGCUUAACUGAGGAACUGCUACUAAAACUAUAUAUCUUGAGUACUGGAGGGGAAAGCGGAAUUCCUAGUGUAGCGGUGAAAUGCGUAGAUAUUAGGAAGAACACCGGUGGCGAAGGCGGCUUUCUGGACAGAAACUGACGUUGAGGCACGAAAGUGUGGGGAGCAAACAGGAUUAGAUACCCCCGUA